This 25485-nucleotide long non-coding RNA is filed under the name Marmota monax (woodchuck). The record is from RNAcentral. Lineage: Eukaryota; Metazoa; Chordata; Mammalia; Rodentia; Sciuridae.
CAGGAAGGAAAAGUUGAUGCGAUGCUCUCAAUGCCGAGUUGCCAAAUACUGUAGUGCUAAGUGUCAGGUAAGACUUCUCAGCUAUAUCAUGAAACCUUCAAAUUCUCUAUUUGAAAAUUUGUCUCCUAUUACCUGUUGGUCUAUUUGUGUUUUUAAACAAUCUUUGACUCAUUUUUACUUGUUAUUUUUCCUUCAGUUUUAAAAUUAAUAUAUAUACAGGUUGAAAUACUUGGGACCAGAAAUGUUUCAGAUUUAAAAUUUUUUCAGUUUGGAAUAUUUGCAUAGAUUUUACCAGUUGAGCAUCACUAACCCCCAAAUUUCAAAAUUUUCAGCUUGGGGGCAUUUCAGAUUUUGAAUUUUUGAAUUAGGGUUGCUGAACCUAUAUAUGGUUAAAAUAUAAGCAUUGUUUGUAUAUAUUUCUGCUAUGUGAAAAUAACUGUUUGUUUUCCAUCUUUAUGCCCCCUGCCUCAAUCUUAUUUUCCAGAAAUAACCACUUUUAAUUUUCUUGGAUGUCUUUGAAAUAUUUUCUUAUGAGAAUUACUAACACAUUUGAAUAUAUUUUUUCUAUGUUUUAAAAAAACAAAUAUUACUCUGGGACAAUUUUUUUUUAAUAUUUUUUAGUUGUAGAUAGAAAUAAUCCCUUUAUUUUAUUUAUUUAUUUUUAUGUGGUGCUGAGGAUUGAACCCAGGGCCUCACACAUGCUAGAUGAGCGAGUGCUCUACCACUUUGCCACAACCCUAGCCCUGGGACAAAUUCUUAUAUACCUUGAUAUUCUUUUAAUUUAAUAAUCUAUUUAGAAGAAAAUUUAUACUAUCCCAUAGCUCCAUUACAUAGAUACAUGAUAAUCAUAAUUUCCCUGUUAAUGAAGUCUUCAAUUUUUUCCAGUAUUUGGUUUGCUGAUAAUGCAUCCAGCAUCCUUUUAUUUUAUUUUUGCACACUUAUUUAAAUUAAUUGUAGGAUAAAUUCUUCCUAGUUAUAUCAGUUAGUGAAAGGAUGUAUGCAUUUUGAAUUUUUAAAUAUAAUGCCAAAUUGCCUUCCAAGAGUUUAAAUUAAUUUAUAAUGAAUACCAUUGUUAAUAUCUUUGAAAUUCCUUCAAGGAUGUAUAAUUAACAUUCAACAUGACCUUUUCUUCAAACCUUAUAAUUAAUCAUUUAAUAAGAAAUGUAAUUAUGCUCUAAUGAAUUAUAUCAUAUUAAAAAGUCUAAGUGGAACUUUUGUGGCUGUGUCACAGAACUUGCCCCCACUUUUCACCCAUCCUUCUUAUUUCUUAUUUUGUUGUGUGUAUUUGCCUGCAUUUGUACAUAGGCACCCACAUUGAGUUCCUUCCUUCUUUUAAAUCUAGGCCAUGCUUAUCUGAGGGAUUUUUGCUAUCUUAUCUUCUCCUUUGAAAGUAAUUUCUUCAGACUACAAACAAAGUGAGCCCCCCUUCGCCAGCUUGUGCAUGCUAGGCAAGUUCUCUACCACUGAGUUAUGUUCCCUGAUCCCAAAGUGAUCUUACUAGAAAAGAAAAAAAAAAAAAGGUACAAAAAUAUCAUGGGUUUGAAGUUCUAAUGCUAAUUCUGCCAUUUUCUAGUUAAAUUAUCUCAGGGAAAACACAAACUCUGUAGGCCUCAGUUUUAAAUCUGUGACUGAUAAGCAGAGCUAGUAUUCAUUAGAUAUCUCCUAUGCACCAUUUAAUUCCAUUUAAUUUUCUAAGAAUCUUAUGAGAAUUAAGUACUAUUAUAUGCUCAUUUUACCAAUAAGAAAACUAAGGAUAGAGAGGCAAGCAACUUGCCAAAUAUGCUAUAAUUUAAAGGCUCUAGAGUUUGGGAAAUGAUUCUCAGUAGCCCAAUUCCAGAUUUUUAACUCUUCUUUUAAAUAUAAAUGUUACUCUCCUUUUACUUUUCUGAUUAAGUCUAGAUUUCCAUUAUCUGUUGUAUUCUUUAUUUUUUCUUGGCUUUUCAUUUUAUUUUGAUAAGGAUGUACUCUAUCCCCAAAGAACAUAAAACAAAAAUGUUAAAAAUAGACAUUGAAGAUUUUAACACUUCUUAAUAAAAAUAAGGUAGGAAAUGUUAAAAGUACUGAAUUAUUUUCACCUCAAUUUGUAAACCAAAUAUUCUGUCAAAGGAAGAUCCUAGAUUUAUGGAAGAUCACUAGCGACAACAGUAACAAAAAAGCAAAAAAAAAGAAAUAAACUCAUGUUUUUCUACAGAGUAAAUUCCAGAAAGACUGUUUUAUGGUGGUGUUUUAGCUCUUUUAUUCAUGUGAAACUCAGCUACUUGUUUCUCAGAACUUCAGAUUAAGCAGAAUACACACAGAAUUGACAAAUUAUCAUUUUAUUUGACACAAAUAUUUUAGGUAUACUUCCUUUCUAGUCUCAAUGACCUAAAAAUUUAUUUUUAUUUUUUCCCUGUUUUUAUGAAUAUUUUUCCUGCUGCUUUCUCCAUUUGUAGUAAAACACUAGGGGUGGGAAAAGGUCAUUAUCUGAUUAGAAUGAGUGGAGGGGUUUUGGUAGGUGGCAUGUCAUUUUGAUUCAUUAUAGUAUAUAUAUUUUUACUACAUUUAUCAGCUGUUUACUAUAGUGUCAAUAAAAAUGUUAUCAUCAGAUAUACUGUGGAAAGUAAUGGAGAAGUAGUAAGGUGAAAUAUAUGGUAUUAGCUAGAGUCUGCUCAUGUGUGAGUGUAUGUGGGGUGAGUGGUUUUGAUGUGUGUAGAGGUCUGGUCAAAAGAUUGGCCAAACCAUAUGCAUUUAAACUGCUAUAUUUAUCUCAACCUUAAGAUACAGCAUUAAACACUGUAAUUAUUGUGGAUAGCUACAAAGUAGUAUAGAAUUAAACUGACACACUGAACUAUGAACAGUAAUGAAAAGGAGGCAAUAGCAAGUGGAAUGGAAAUUGAUAUUGAGCAUGUGAAUUUGUAGCAUAAAAUCUAUAAUAUGUCCACCCCAGGGGAACAUAACUUUGGUUCGCUAACUUAGCCUUUGAUGUGUGGGGUUUGGCUUCAAUGAGUUGUCUGAGAGAGGUUUUGUGGGUAUUUCAGUCUGUAAUGUGUCUUUUGUGCUCAUUGUAUGGCACCAUUGCUGUCAGCAUUCACAUUUCAUUUUUAACAUAAGUAACAUAAAGAUGUAUUUUCAUUAUAAAAAUUAACACCAUAUAUAGUCAUACAGAAUAAAAAGCAAAUCCUUUAGUUUCUUUUCCCACUCCUGUUUUCUGGUGGUAAUCUCUUUGUGUCUAUUUUGUGAGUUUAGGAUACAUACCCAACUGUUAUUCCAUGCUUCAUCUGUAGUCUCUUUAUGUAUGUGUCUGUGUAUUAAUCUGUCUAUCUACAGCUGUGUAGGUACUGCUUCUGAUACUGACAAAAUAGUUUGUUAUUAGUGGCUUCAUAUUUUUUUCCAUACCUUAUUGUGAGAUGUCUGAUUUUUACAAGAAAAAUCAGUAUUAUUUGGUAUAUUCAGAUCAUCCAGAUGAUUAUGAAAUUAUAGGGGAGUAGCAGGUUAAGCUUUUUUCUAAAAAAAGUAUACUCAAAGUAGAAAAUGGCAGCAAUAUUGAUAGCAAGUAAACUAAUUUUAGGCAAAUCCAUCAAGUAUUAUUUUACCUGUUCUGGAUUUGAUUCUUUUUUUUUUUUUUUUUAAUUUUUUUUUAUUGGUUGUUCAAAACAUUAUAAAGCUCUUCACAUAUCAUAUUUCAUACAUUAGAUUCAAGUUGGUUAUGAACUCCCAAUUUUACCCCAAAUACAGAUUGCAGAAUCACAUCGGUUACACAUCCACAUUUUUACAUAAUGCCCUAUUAGUAACUGUUGUAUUCUGCUACCUUUCCUAUCCUCUACCAUCCCCCCUCCCUCCCCUCCCAUCUUCUCUCUCUGCCCCAUCCACUGUAAUUCAUAUCUCUCCUUGUUUAUUUUCCCAUUCCCCUCACAACCUCUUAUAUGUAAUUUUGUAUAACAAUGAGGGUCUCCCUCCAUUACCAUGCAAUUUCCCUUUUCUCUCCCUUUCCAUCCCACCUCAUGUAUCNACUGUUUUCCAGAUUGGCCGCACCAGUUUGCAGUCCCACCAGCAAUGUACAAGAGUACCCUUUUCCCCACAUCCUCUCCAGCACUUGUUGUUUGUCUUCAUAAUGGCUGCCAAGUUUUCUCUCAGCAAGAGAAACAAUAAAAGAGGUAAAUAGGGAGCCUACAUCAUGGGAACAAAUUUUUACUCCUCACACUUCAGAUAGAGCCCUAAUAUCCAGAGUAUACAAAGAACUCAAAAAAUUAAACAAUAAGAAAACAAAUAACCCAGUCAACAAAUGGGCCAAAGACCUGAACAGACACUUCUCAGAGGAGGACAUACAAUCAAUCAACAAGUACAUGAAAAAAUGCUCACCAUCUCUAGCAGUCAGAGAAAUGCAAAUCAAAACCACCCUAAGAUACCAUCUCACUCCAGUAAGAUUGAUUCUUAAUAUAUACGUUUAUUUUUUUCUUUUGCUUUUUUGUGGUACUGGGAAUUGAACCCAGGGGCACUUUACCACUGAGCCUCAUCCCCAGCCUUUUUUAUUUUUUAUUUUAUUUAGAGACAAGGGUUGCUGAGGCUGGCCUAAAACUUGUGAUCCUCCUACCUCAGUCUACUGAGUUGCUAGGAUUACUGGCAUGCGCCACUGUGCCCAACUCAUAUGUACACUUCUAGUUGAAUUAAUUACUGAACCAAAUAUACAGUUUAUAUUCUUUUAAAAAGCACUAUAUUAGCAGAGAGAGGCUCUUUUUUAUGUUGAUAAUUAUGGAUCUCUUUAAACAUGUGAAUCAUAUUUUUGGUUUACAUUUUAUGCUUAGUUAUAGAAUGAUUUGAUUCAUUUUUGAUGAGUAGAAAAUUAAUCCCACAUUAGUAAGCAUUUAACAGGGUAAUGUAAUAAGUUGUUCUCUGGAAUAAUGUACUCAAAGUGGUGAUAAUGAGAAAAGCCAAGCCUUUUAUUUGUUUCAUAAAUAGCUCUCUGCCAGACUUCAGACUGAUAGUAUAUACACUGAUUUGUAUUUCUUGAUCCAUUUUGACAGUGUCUGUUUUAAAAAAAAAUUUUGUAGUUGGACAGCAUGUUUUAUUUGUUUUUUUUUACAUGGUGCUGAGGAUCAACCCAGUUCCUCACAUGUGGAAGGCAAGCGCUCUGCCACUGAACUCAGCCCCAGCACGUCUUUUAACUGGUUCAUUUACAUCAUUGACAUUCAAAGUGAUUAUUGAUAUAGUUGCAUUAAUGCCUACCAUGUUUUCUAUUUGUUGGCUUUACUCUUUCUUUCUGUUUUUUAUUUGUUUAUUUAUUUUUGUUGUUUGUUUGUUUUUCUUUUGCAGUGCUGGGAAUUGAACCCAGGGCCUUGUGCAUGCAAGGCAAGCACUCUACCAACUGAGCUAUAUCCCCAACCCCUUUGUUUCUGUUUUUGUCUUUCACUGUUUUUCUGACUGUAUGGUUUUAAUUGAACAUUUUAUUUUAUACAAUUCCAUCUUCUCUCUUUUACUAACAUCAGUUAUACUUGUUUCUUUUUACUUAUAUUGGUUAUGCCCUGGAGUUUACAACAUACAUUUAUUUACAAUGAACCCAAAUCUGAUCUCAAGUAGUACUUCUACUGCUUCACAGAUACCUUAAAAUAACAAAAUAGAACUGUGGGACAACUAAAAAAGGUAUGAGAAAUAUAUAGUGGGAAUACCAAAAGGCAAAAAAAGAAAAAAAAAAAAAAGAGAGAGAAUGGAACAGGUGAAAUAGCUGAAGCAAUAAUGAUUAAGAAUUUCUCCAAAUUAAUGUCAGGCAUCUAUGGACUGGGGACAUAGCUCAGUUGGUAGAGUGUUUGCCUAGCAUGCACAAGGCCCUACGUUCAAUCUCCACCACCAGGGUGGGGAGGCUGAUUUAAUGUCAGGCACCUUACCAUAAAUCCAGAAAAGUCAGAGAACAAUUAAAUUCCCAAUUUCACAUCCUCCUAUCUCUUAUAUCAUUGGGACUAUUUAUUUCACGUAUACAUAAGCAUAUGUCAUCAAAAUACAUAAUUGUUAUUAUUUUGAUCAGUUAAGAAAACUAAGUGUUUUAUCUUCACUUACUCUUUCUGAUGCUCCUCCUUUCUUUAUGUAAUGCCAGCUCCCAACUUUUAUCAGUUUCCUCCUCUGUACAGAAUUUUUUUUUCCACAUUUCUUUCAAGGCAAGUCUACUGGCAAUAAAUUGCCAUUUUGUUGUUUGUCUGAGAAAGUCUUUAUUUCUUUGCUUUUGAAGGAUAAUUUAAUAGAGUACAGAAUUGGAGAUUGGUGAGUUUUUUUUUUCUUUUUUUCUUUCUUUCUUGUAGCACUUAAAAUAUUUCACUCUACUUCCUUGCUUACCUGGCUUCUGAGAAGUUUGGUAUAAUUUUUAUAUUUGUUCUUCCAUAGGUAAGGUGUUUGUUUUAGUAUAUUCUGUGUUGCUAUCAAGGUAUUUCUGUGACUAACUGACUUAUAAGGAAUAGAAAUUUAUUGACUCCUAGUUCUUGAAGCUGGAAAGUUCAAUAACAGGUCAUCAUAUAGCCAUGGUUUUCUUACUGCAUUAUCACAUGGCAGAAGGACAGAGAAAGAGCAGGUCAAAUUCAUCCUUUUGUAAUGACAGUAAUGUUACCUGUGAGGGUACAGUCUUCUGGCUCAAUCACUUCUUAACUGUCUCACCUCUUUGAACUAUUACAAUGGCAAGUAAGUUUCAACAAAAAUUUUGGAGGGGACAAAUGUUCAGAAUGUAGCACUAUUUAUUUCCUUUGACCUCUUUUGAGAUUUUUAAAGUCUUUGAUUUCCUGUAGUUUGACAAUGACAAUUAUCCUGCAUGUGUUCUCUGACUUUUCUGGAUCUGUGGUAAGGUGCCUGACAUUAUAUUUAUUAAAUUUUUUUUGGUGGUUCUGCGGACUGAACCCAGGGCCUUGUCCAUGCUAGGCAAACACUCUACCAACUGAGCUAUGUCCCCAGUCCCUAGGUGCCUGACAUUAAUUUGGAGAAAUUCUUAAUCAUUAUUGCUUCAGCUAUUUCACCUGUUCCAUAUUCUCUCUCUCUCUCUCUCUCUUUCUCUCUUUCUUGCCUUUUGGUAUUCCCAUUACAUACUUCUCAUACCUUUUUUAGUUGUCCCACAGUUCUUGGAAAAUUUUAAAAAAUAUUUUUAGUUGUAGAUGGACACAAUACCUUUGUUAAUUAGUUUUUUUUUACAUGGUGCUGGGGAUUGAACCCAGUGCCUCACAUGUGCUAGGCAGGCAUUCUACCACUGAGCCACAACCAUAGCCCUUUUUUUGUUUUUAUAAGUCUCUUUUCUCUUUUCCAGUUCUGAUGGUUUUUAUUGAGAUAUUCUUAAGCUCUAAGAUUCUUCCCCUAACUAUGUGAACUUUCCCAGUAAGCCCAACUGAAACAUUCUUCAUUUCUGUUUUGGCAUUUUUUACUAAUAUUUAUUUUUGGAUUUUUCUUAGAAUUUUCAUGUCUUUCCUUAACAUUUAAUGUCUGUUCUUGUAUGCUGUUUUCUUUAACUAUUAGAACUCUUAGCAUAUUGAUCUUAGUUGUUUUAAAUUCCCAGUCUGAUAAUUCCACCACCCCUAACAUAUGUACUAUAUGUACUAUACUAGUACUUAUGUUUGCUGUGUCUAUUCAAAUUUUAUUUUUUGCCUUUUAGAAUGCCUUGCAAUUUUUUCAUGAUGACGAACCAUGAUGUACUGACUGAAAUGACAUGAAAUUUGUAAGAUAUAGAAAAUGACAAACUCCAAAAUAGUGUAGCUUGGGAAGAGGGAGUGAGGAAAAAACCCAAACAUUAAUAACAUUGAUCCUUUCCCAAAUACAUUCCUUCCAAGUAACAAAGACAAUUCCUAGGAAGGAGAUAUUCAUCAAGCCUAAAAUGGCAGUCUCUGGGAGGAAGCCAAAACUUUGAUCCUUCCCCAAAUAAGGGAAAGAGAUAAGCCUUGAAUGUUGAUCCCAGACCCUCCAUUCUUCCCCAAGUAAAAACAUUACCCAGAAAUUUCAAAUUCUCACAGCCUGUUUCCUUAGUGUCCAAAUUGACACACACUGUCAAUAAUUAAGUCACCUCUCUGUGUAGCAUAUAUAAGCACAGAUUCCUCCUUUGGCCAGCAGCUCAUUUUCCAUAAGGAAAGUGUGUCCACCAGAUGUAUGACCUACCAUUGAAUAAAGGUUUUGUUGAUCCCUGAUGUUUGCACUGGGCUCAGUCAUUUGUGCUAACACUAUUAAUAGGUAUUUAUUAAUGUGGUUGGGUGUGGGGAUAAGAAUGGGUAGGGAGUGUGUUAUGGAGUCCAGUAAUUAGGUCUUGGUUUUUUGAUGAACCUUUGCCUCUGAUUGUGAGCUUCACACAACUUGUCAGUUUAGGAUUGGCUAGUUUGAAUAGUCUCAGAGGAUCUUGGAGUAUGAGGGGUGAUUUCUAGAUCCCUGUACUUGACCCUGGGGUGAUUAAGGCAGAAGACUAUUAUUUCUAAGGAUGUUAGGGUCUGAUAGAAGAGGUGUGACUCUGAAUUGUUUAGUUUACAUAUCAAAGAAAUAUUGCUGUCUUUAAGAAUUGGCUAUCCCUGGGAGGAAUAGAUUCUUGCUAUAUAGAAAGGUUUUUAAAAAUGUAUAACAUAAUAUUAUAUAGAAAUAAAAAUUAAAGAACAGUGUUGAACCAUAGGUAUGAUCAGUUGAUUUUGAACCAAUUUGCCAUCGUAAUUCAAUAGUGAAAGGAUAGUCUUUUCAACAAAUUGUGUUGAAAAAAAAAUCUAUGCAAAUUAUAUACAUGUAAAACAAAUAAAUUUUAAAAACUUCUGAAUAGAUUAUAGACUUAAACUUAUAGGCUAAGUCUACAAAACUUUUAGAAGAAAACAUAGGAAGAAAUUUUUGGAUAUGACGUAUGUGAAGUUUCAUAGGUAUAUCAAAAAGCACUGAGCAUAUAAGACAAACUGAUAGAUUGGAUCAGAAUUAAUCCCUCUGUCCUUUGAAAGAAAUCAUUUUAAAUAUGGAAAGAUAAACUACAGACUGGGAGAAAAUGUUUGAGCUUGCAUGUGCAUGCUCUGUCAUGUCCCCUGCCCCAGGAGCUGCUGUGUCCAGAUUGAUUGAUUGAUUUGCAGUACUGGGACUGAACCCAGUGCUGCUUUAACACUGAGCUAUAUAUUCAGCCCUUUUAAAAAAUUAUUUUUAUAAUUUGAGAUAGGGUUUUACUAAGUUGCUCAGGCUGGCCUUGAACUUGUACACUGUUGCUUUAGCCUCCUAAGUUGCCGAGAUUAUAGGUGUAUGCCAUUGCACCUUGCAUGUUAUCCAUAGUUUUGAAAGAACACUUAAAAUUCAGUAGUAAGAUAAUCCAGUAAAAUAAGCAAAAGAUUUGAAUACUUCAAGAAGGUAUACAUUGAAAAAUAUUCAACACCAUUAGUCAUUAGAGUAAUAAAAAUUAUAACCAUAAUGAGAUACCACUAUAUUUUUACUAGAAAACCUGAAAAAAAAAAAAAAAGAAAAAGAUUUACCUUGCCAAGUCCUUGCAAGACUGUAGAACAGCUGGAACCCUCAUCCAAUGAAUUUAAAAUGUUACCAUUUCUUUGGACAUGUUUGGUAGUUUCUAGUAACCUUUAAGUUUAACUUCUAAGUGACCCAGCAAUUCUCCUAUGUGUUUACCUGGGAGUUAUGAAAGUAUAUUACCACAAAGAAAGAUUUGCACAUUAAGAGUUCAGUGUUCCAAACCUGGAAACAACUGAAAUAUUACCCCAUAGGUAAACGAACAAUAAACAAACACACAUGCUAUACUAUUACUGACCACACACAAAAAGGGGCAACUACUAACGUAUGCAGCAACAGAAGUGAAUCUCAGAACAUUAUAUUGAGAGAAGGAAGCUAGUUGGGAAGUACUACUACUAUUCUGGACUAGAUAAAAGUAAUCUGUAUUGAUGGAGACAAGAUUACUGGUUGCUGGGAAGGAGGAUAUAAAUAUGAAGGGACCCAAGGGAAACUUUGAAGAGUAAUGACAUAUUUUGUAUCUUAAUUUUGGUGUUGGUUAUGUGGAUGGAUGAAGUAUUUUAUUGUCAUUUAAAUUAUAUCUCAGUAAGUUAAGAAAUAUUUCUUAUUACAAAGUCAUAAAGUAUAUGUUAAUUGCAUUUCUUCUUCUUCUUUUUUUUUUUGCUUGUUUAACAGUGAUCUGAAUCUUAAAUUACUCAAAAAUCAAUCUGUUAUUAAAGAAAAUUGUUCUAGGAGGGUAAGACAUGGGAAAGGAAGAUCGAAUAGGAUGCUCCAGCAAUGGUCUGCAGUAGAGAUCGCCUUAACAUCAAAUUCAACUAGGUUUUCCAUUUUAACCUUCCAUUGCUUACUCUAAAUCACUCCAGUAUUACAGAGUUGUUUCAAGACAUUUUGGUAUAUAGGUUUUUGGUUAGUUCUGUUUUUUUAGCGGUACCCUAGAUUGAAUUCAGGGGCACUUUACCACUGAGUCACAUUCCUAGCCCUAUUUUCUGUUUUAUUUAGAGACAGGGUUUCACUGAGUUACUUAUUGCCUCGCUUUUGCUGAGGCCGGCUUUGAAUUUGUGAUCCUCAUGUCUCAACCUUCAGAGCUGCUGGGAUUACAGGCGUGAGCCACUGUGUCUGGCAAUUGUCUGUUUUUCAGCUACUUUUCAGUGGGAUUCUCUGACAUAAUAUGUUUGAUUCUAGAUCCUUGCUAGGAUCCUCCCUGUUAGGUUAGGUCCUGUCAGAAAUGGCUCUGAUGGCGGCUGCUCUUCUUGAUGGCUUCCUCUGCUUCUCUUACCACCUGCCCUCUUACCACCACUUUUGGACUUAUAGAUGAGAUUAAACCAACUUCAUCCCUUGGUGGCCAUUGUGGUUUACUUUCGGAGUUAAAAUCUUGAUAAUUACUUGAGUGGGGUAAGUGAAAUGCAUGUGCCACUUCUGACACGUUCAACUAGAACCUGGUGUUGAUAGUUUGAUUAACAGGUCUCUUUCAAAUAUGUUCUAAAGUCUAUAGAAUAAAUCACUUAUUUUGCCCUCCUGCUAAAAUAUAUCAAUUAAGUCAAGCCAUGUUUAUAUGAUUUCUUAGUAGAUCAGAGAGGCAAACUUUCUGUAAAGGCAGUAUGAGAAAUAUUUUGGGCUUGUGGGCCAUAGGAUUUCUGUCAUAACUGUUUAACUCUACUGUAGCAUGAAAAAAAUGAAUGUAAGGAAUGAGUGUGGUUAUAGUGCAAUACAAUUUUACAAAGAGUUGGCAGGAUGUAUUUGAUUUGUAGGCUGCAAUUUGCUGAACCCCAACUGGAUGAUGAUUGACUUCUUUAGAGGAACUCAUGUUAUUAUUGCCUCAUAUUCUGUGGUUCCUCAGUUAGCCAAUGGACUGUAUUUUCUGUUUUCUAAAAAGUCAUAAUCAGUUCUUGUUUUUUUUUUUUUAAUCUUCGUGUUCUAUGACCAUUCCUGUGUCUCUUUCCUUUAUAUUCAACUCCAUGUCUAAUUUGAAUAAGGCCAGUGGGAAGGCACUCUUGUUCUAUAUAUGAUACAGUGUGCAGUGAGCUUUUAAGUGAUAAGUCUAAUGUCUAUCACUGAAUCUCUAGUGUGCUCUAAGGAGAUUUUUAUGCAAGAUUUUAAUCCAUACCUGUCAAUCAGCUAUAGCUGUUAGACAACCUGCUUAGCCUUCCAGUUUUCUUUUUCCAGAUUCCAGCUUUUCAGAUCUUCAUGCAUCUGACAACCUGUAAUUCAAUAUUGGACUACUUAUGAAACAUACAAGAGAGGUAUGAUUUGUUUGCUCUCAGUAGUCUGUAAAUGAAUGGAAGAUUUUCAGGUUUCUUUUUGUCUGCAAGUUGCAUUGCAAAUUCACUAUCCUAUGUUUUGACCAUAGGAAACUCUUGUAGAUGAUUCUGAGUAGAGUGAAUCAUGAACAUGUAAUAAAAAAUUAUCAUGUCUGUAUUUCAGAAGAUGUUCCGUUUAUUGAUAAUUAUGUGAGCUGACUCAAAAUAAUUUUCUUUUCUACAUAUUUUAAAACUGGUUCUACCUUCCUAAUGACCUAAAAUCUGAGGAAAAUACUAUUCUGUACUUCCAGUGCUAUGAAGCCUAACCUGGGCAGGUCUCAAGAAUAUUAUCAUGUUAAUCAAAAUAUCAUUUGUUUAUACCAUUUGUUUAGAAUGGAUAUCACAGAAUCGUAGGAUUUUAAUCAAUGAAAAGCUGCCUUUGAGAUCUUUGAAUCCAAUCCUCUUACAGAGUAAAUACCAGAUAAACUUUGGUCAUGACUCAGAUGUAUUUUAUCCAGAUUGUGUCAAUAUAUGAUGAUCUCUCCCAACACUUUAUUCCACAUGACAAUGAGUUGCCCUGAAAUGAAUGUCUACCCCAACCAAAAUCCAGUGUUCAACAGCAUUUAAAUGGGUUAUUAAAUAGUAGUAUAUAGUUACUUAGUGUCUAAAGAGAAGAGGAAAAUACUAUAAUAAUAGUCAAAACUAUUAUUUUGUAUAAGAAAAAAGAAAUAAAUGGAUUUUUUUCCUUUCUAUUGUGACAUUAGAUCUUUCCUUUUAUAAUCAAUCAAUAGCCUAUAAGAUUGGUCUAUAAAAAGAGUUUUUAGGGAUUUUUCUUUCAUGUCUUCUUUGGGAUGGCCUUAAUUUCUAAUAAUCAAUGAUAAUAUAUAGUAAAUUUUAUGUCCUAACUGGUACUGGUUUUAUAAUAAAUCAUAGGAUAUUCAUUGAACACCUGUUCACAUGCAAGUUAUACUCAUUAAGGAAAACCAUAUACAUUUUGAGUUGAGUUUUGUACAUGGUGAGAGAUAGGGGUUUAAUUUCAUUUUUUUGAAUAUGGAUUUCCAGUUUUCUCAGCACCAUUUGUUGAAGAGGCUAUCUUUUCUUCAACGCAUGUCUUUGGUGCCUUUGUCUAAUAUAAUUGUAAUUUUGUGGGUUAGUCUCCUCUACUCUGUACCAUUGGUCUACCAGUCUGUUUUGGUGUCAAUACCAUACUGUUUUUGUUACUGUUGCUCUGUAUAGUUCAAAGUCUAGUAUAGUGGUGCCACCUGCUUCACUGUUCCUGCUAAGGAUUACUUUAGCUAUUCUGGGUCUCUUAUUUUUCCAGAUGAAUUUCAUGACUGCCUUUUCUAUUUCUAUGAGGAAUGUCAUAGGGAUUUUGAUCAGAAUUGCAUUAAAUCUGAUUAGGGCUUUUGGAAAUAUGGUCCUUUUGAUAAUAUUAAUUCUGUCUAUCCAAGAGCGAGGUAGAUUCUUCCAUCUUCUAAGGUAUUAUUUGAUUUCUUUCUUUAGGCUUCUAUAGUUUUCAUUGUAUAGAUCUUUCACCUCUUUUGUUAAGUUGAUUCCCAGGUAUCUUAUUUUGUUUUAUUUUUUUAAGGAUAUUGUGAAUGGGGUAGUUUUCCUCAUUUGCUUCUCAGAGGAUUUGUCACUGAUAUACAGAAAUGCCUUUGAUUUAUGGUUGUUGAUUUUAUAUCCUGCUACUUUGCUGAAUUCACUUACUAAUUCUAGAAGUUUUCUGGUGGAGUUUUUUGGGUCUUUUAGGUAUAGAAUCAUGUCAUCAGCAAAUAGAGCUAAUUUAAGUUCUUCUAUAUAUAUAUAUAUAUAAUUUCUUUAAUUUCUUUCAUCUAAUUGCUCUGACCAGUGCUUCAAGAACUAUGUUGAAUAGAAGUGGUGAAAGAGGGCAUCCCUGUCUUGUUCCAGAUUUUAGAGGGAAUGCCUUCAGUUUUUCUUCAUUUAGAAUGAUAUUUGCCUGAGGCUUAGCAUAGAUAGCCUUUAUGAUGUUGGGAUAUGUUCCUGUUAUCCCUAGUUUUUCUAGUGUUUUGAGCAUAAAGGGGUGCUAUAUUUUGUCAAAUGCUUUUUCUGUGUCUAUCAAGAUGAUCAUAUGAUUCUUAUCUUUAAGUCUAUUGAUGUGAUGAAUUACAUUUAUUGAUUUCCGUAUGUUGAACCAAACUUGCAUCCCUGGGAUGGAUCCCACUUGAUUAUGGUGCACAAUCUUUUUGACAUAUUUUUGUAUUCGAUUUGCCAGAAUUUUAUUGAGAAUUUUUGCAUCUAUGUUCAUUAGAGAUAUUGGUCUGAAGUUUUCUUUCUUUGAAGUGUCUUUAUCUUGUUUUGGAAUCAAGGUGAUAUUGGCCUCAUAGAAUGGGUUUGGAGGUGCUCACUCUUUUUCUAUUUCCUGAAAUAAAUUGAAGAGUAUUGGUAUUAGUUCUUCUUUAAAGGUCUUGUAGAAAUCGGCUGUGUAUCCAUCCGGUCCUGGGCUUUUCUUGGUUGGUAGUCUUUUGAUAAUUUCUAAUUAUCCUCUGUAUUUCUGUAGUGUCUGUUGUGAUAUUACCUUUUUCAUCAUGUAUGCUGGUAAUUUGAGUUCUCCCUCUUCUUCUCUUCGUUAGCAUGGCUAACAGUCUGUCAAUUUUAUUUAUUUUUUUUUUCAAAGAACCAACUUUUAGUUUUGUCAAUUUUUUUAUUUGUUUCUUGUUUCAAUUUCAUUGAUUUCCACUCUAAUUUUAAUUUUUACUGCCUUCUACUGCUUUUGCUGCGGAUUUGUUCUUCUUUUUCUAGGGCUUUGAGAUGUAGGUGAGGUCAUUUAUUUGUUGACUUUUUCUUCUUUUAAGGAAUGAAUUCCAUGCAAUGAAUUUUCCGCUUAGUACUGCUUUCAUAGUGUCCCAGAGAUUUCGAUAUGUCUGUGUUCUCAUAUACCUCUAAGAAUUUUUUAAUCUCCACCUUGAUGUCUUCUGUAACCCAUUGUUCAUUCAAUAGCAUAUUGUUCAGUCUCCAGGUGAUAAAGAAAUUUUUGUUUUUUAUUUUGUCGUUAAUUUCCAAUUUCAUUCCAUUACGAUCUGAUAAAAUGCAUGGUAGUAUCUCUACUUUAUUGUAUUUGCUAAUAGUUGCUUUGUGGCAUAGUAUAUGGUCUAUUUUCCAGAAGGAUCCAUGUGCUGCUGAGAAGAAAGUCUAUCUACUUGAUGCUGGUUGAAAUAUUCUAUAUGUUUGUUAAGUCCAAGUUAUUAAUUGUGUUUUUGAGCUCUAUAGUUUCUUUAUUCAACUUUUGUUUGGGAGAACUAUCCAGUGGUGAGAGAGGUGUGUUAAAGUCACCCACGAUUAUUGUGUUGUGGUCAAUUUGACUCUUGAACUUGAGAAGGGUUUGUUUGAUGAACAUAGCUGCACCUUUGGGGCAUAUAUAUUUAUGAUUGUUAUGUCUUGUUGGUGUAUGGUUCCCUUGAGCAGUAUGUAAUGUCCAUCUUUAACCCUUUUGAUUAGCUUUGGCUUGAAGUCUAUUUUAUUUGAUAUGAGUAUAGAAACCCCUGCUUGCUUCCAUGGUCCAUUUGAGUGGUAUGAUUUUUCUAACCUUUCACCUUCAGUCUGUGUAUGUCUUUUCCUAUCAGAUGAGUGUAGGCAUCAUAUUGUUAGAUCUUUUUUUUUUUAAUCCAAUCUGCUAGCCUAUGUCUUUUGAUUGGUGAGUUUAAGCCAUUAACAUUUAGGGUUACUAUUGAGACAUGGUUUGUAUUUACAACCAUAUUUGUUUAUUUUUGUUAUUUAACUUGACUUGGUUUUCCUCUUUGAUUAGUUUUUCCUUUAGUGUACUACCUCCCCCUGUUGGUUUUCAUUGUUGUUUUUCAUUUCCUCUUCAUGAAAUAUUUUGCCAAGGAUGUUUUGCAGUGCCAGUUUUCUAGCUUCAAAUUCUUUUAAUUUUUGUUUAUUGUGGAAGGUUUUUAUUUCAUCUUCAAAUCUGAAGCUUAAUUUUGCUUGAUACAAGAUUCUUGGUUUGCACCCAUUAUCUUUCAGAGUUUGAAAUAUGUUGUUUCAGAUCUUCUGACUUUCAGGGUCUGUGUUGAAAAAUCUGCUAUUAUCCUAAUUGGUUUACCCUAUAUGUGAUCUGAUUCCUUUCUCUUGUGGCUUUUAAAAUCCUCUCCUUAUUCUGUAUGUUGCGCAUUUUCAUUAUAAUGUGUCUUGGUGUGGAUCUGUUGUGAUUUUGCACAUUUGGCGUCCUGUAGGCUUCUUGGAUUUGGAUUCCCAUUGCAUUCUUCAUAUCUGGAAAGUUUUCUGAUAUUAUUUCAUUGAAUAGAUUGCUCAUUCCUUUGGUUUGGUCCUCUAUGCCUUCCUCUACCCAAUAACUCUUAAAUUUGGUCUUUUUAUGCUAUCCCAUAUUUCCCGAAUGUUCUGCUUGUAGUUUCGCUGUGCUGUCUAUGUUCUUUUCAAGAUGAUAUAUUUUAUCUUUGUUGUCUGAUGUCCUAUUUUCUAAGUCGUCUACUCUGUUGGUGAUGCUGUCAUUUGAGUUUCUAAUUUGGUUUAUUAUUUCGUUCAUUUCAAGGAUUUUUGUUUGGUUAUUUUGUAUAACCGCUAUCUCCCUGUUGAGGUGAUCUUUUGCUUCUUGGAUUUGUUUAUGUAGCUUAUUGUCGAAGUGAUCUUUCACUGCCUGUAUUUGUUCUCUUAUGUCUUCUUUGAGAUCCCAAAACAUUUUAAUCAUGUAUAUCCUGAAAUCUUUCUCUGUCAUUUUUUUCUGCUGUAGCUGUCAAUAUUUCUAAUGAUGUGUUGUCUUGAUUUGUUUGUGGUACUUUAUUCCCUUGUCUUUUCAUGUUGCUCGCAUUUCUUUCUUUCCAGCUCUGUGGGACUGGUGUGUUAUUGUUUUUACCCUACAGAUUUGUAGUGCUCUUGUAUGGUUCCAAGAUACCUUCUUUGUGGGGAAGGACAAUGUUAUCAGAGCCCAAUAUCAACAGUACAUUACCUAUGAACAAAUUAUUGUUAUUAAGACAUUUAUAGUUAAUCUCAAUGUCCAGAAAUGUUGGAUUCAAUUAUUAUUUAAAAUAUAAUUAGUAGUUUCAUAAAAAGUGUACAGUUUUGGUGGUGGACAGUGAACUGGAGGUUGGGCAUAGGAUGAUAUGCUAAGAGAGAAAGAUGUAAGGGUAUGGGGUUAACAUAACUUAGGAAAUUUGAAGGAGAAUUUUAAUGAAGAGGGUUCAUAGCAGGGGAAUAGGGUAGACAAGUACGUUGGAAGACAGUAGAGUACAUAAAAACACACAUAUGUAUUUAGAAAUUUACAGGAUGUUAAAAUAGUAAAAUUUGGAGGGUGAAAGAAGAAGAAAGGAGAAGGAAAAAAAAAGGAAAGAAAGAAAGAGAAAAAAGAGAAAGAAGAAAGAAAAGAAAAAGGGAUGGCUUAUGCAAUUCCUCUAUAUGAUAUUAUUCAGGUGACUCAGUUCUCAAAUAUCUAUAUCAUGUAAAGUUCUCGGUUUCACAUAUGUUGGGGUUGUGAGGGCCAGAGGAUAGAAGGGUAGAGGAGAAAGGAGAAGGAUAAGAAGGAAAAAAAAAUACUCUUAGACUUCAAUUUCCUUCUUGCUUCUCAUCUCUUCCAGUAGGUGGAGUUGUCUGUUUUAAGCUGGAGUCUGUCUUCAGGGUGGUGUAUGUAACCAGCGUGAGAAGACUUGAGCCCCAGUAUUGUCUCCCUCUCUUGUCUGGAGCUUCCCCUAUCCUGGUCUCUCUGUUUUGCUCCAGGUUUUAGACCCCUUUCCUCUUUUGCUUAUCAGGUCCCAAUUGCUGGAUCUCUCACCCUCAGGCUUGCACUGCACUCCCAUUCAACUGAGAGUGGUUUUUGUGCUGGGUAGUCACUGCGCCAAGGUAUCACAGCUGGUGCGGGGCAGAUUAUUAUGAAGUUGGAAACCAGGUACCUGUUCAAAUGGAGAUCCACACUGAUAGCCACGUCCACCAAAAAAAUUGGGAGAAAGGUUUUCCAAGAUGGAAUUGGUGUGCUUCCAGCACUGGGGGUCUGGUGAGGUGGGGGGAGCUGGGCUGGCGUUGUGCUGGGGCUAGAUUGCGCUCAAGAACUGCCGGCUUUGGUUCUGGAGUGCAGAGUCUUACUGGAACACAGAAACUCUGAUUUCUUUGCAGGUGGUCGCAGCUCUGAUGGUUUCUGUGAAAAUCCGCUGUAGAGGGGUCCUGUUACACACUCUGAGAUGUUGUAUUCUGCCUAGGUGAUACCUUGUGGAGACACCGCCUGACUGCUUUCUUGGUUUCAUUCCUCAGAGCAGCCAGAAAUGGUAUCUCCUAUAUUCUACCAUCUUGGAUCCCCUAAAGUGGAAGUUUUAAAAAAGGAGUUAUCAGUUUCUACUAUAUUUGGGACUGGGGUUGAUUAAAAUCUGUUCUUAAUUAUUAUUAUUUUUUGUCUCAAAUUACCUGUGGUUUAUUUUGUUGAGGGUGAUUAUUGUUCAGCUGGAUGUGUACUCAGGCAUUUGAAUAAAUCUGAAGGUGCCUUCUCAGUGACUUGUUGGUACUUUGUGGUUUGUUCCUGCCCACGCAGUUUGUCCAUUAAGAGGUUCUUUCAGGUCUUACAACUUUCAUAACCAAAUGAAAGCUCUUCUAGAAAAGUUAUGGUUCUCUCUUCAGUCUGUUUCUUGUCAGUGUAAAGAACCAUGAAUUUGUUUAACCUAUUCUCAAAGACCAGUACAUAGGUAUAUAUGAGUUGGUAUAUAAAUAACCUAACUUCCCAAAAAAUGGCAAUGGCAAUCAUGAGAACCUGAGUUAAAUAAUUUAUACAGAUUGCUUUAAUGUAUAAUUUUUUAGGACUUUUAAUAAGUUAAACUCAUUUUGCUAAGUAGAGUCUGCAUGAUUUUUGUGUGUUUAAAACAGAAUGAAACUGGGCUGGGGUUGUGGCUCAGCAGUAGAGUGCUCACCUAGCACAUGUGAGGCACUGGGUUGCAUCCUCAGCACCACAUAAAAAUAAAUAAAUAAAAUAAAGGUAUUGUGUCUAACUACAACUAACGAAAAAUAUUUAAAAAAACCACAAUGAAGCCAUAUAUUUUUACAUGUUGGUAAUUUUUUAUUACUAAUCCUAAUAAUUACUAGUUAGUAGCCCCAUGAACAACAAACAUUUUCUUUCACAUCGUUAUAUUUUGAUAUUAAGUCUUUAAGUGAUUAAAUGCAGCUAUAUAAAAGGCCAUAGUGUAAACUCUUGUUCUAGAGUAUUGUCAAAGACAUUCUCCAGUAUGUUGAUUCUGAUUCUUGGAGUACAUUUCUCCUGUAGUUUAAUGCUUCGUAAAGCAAUGUGUUUUUCUUUUCUGUCUGAUGAGAAUGAUAUAAGCCAUUAUGCUUUCUCUUUUGCCUUGCAUGUAAGGCAACUCAAAUAACUGUAGUGCAAAAACAUGGUGAUUAUUUAGCUCUCAUGUUUAGUAUACUAGGGAUUUUCAUUCUUCCCUUUUCUGUUUAGCUUAUUUGGUAGUAAGGUCAUGGUUCUUGAGCCAUACCUUCUUCAUCUUAAAUAUAAGGAUAAUAUCUUCUGUUUGGAUUACUGUGAAAAUCAAAUGACAUGUCUUUUUGUAUGCUUAGCCAAGCAGCUAGUACAUUUUAGAGUGCUAAGUAAAUUCUAGAAGAUUUUUUCUCACUCCUCACCAAUAAUUUUAGCAUUUUGUUUAUGUUUUUACAAACUUAAUUUCUUGAUUUUGUUUAUAUUGAUGCAGCCUAGUCUUGUUUAAGUGAGUGAAAUAUAAAUUCUGAAAAGAAAGAUUAAAGAGCAGGUUAAGAGGAUUACCAUAGUAGAAGCAAGGCAGCCAUGAUUAGAGAUGACAAAGAAGUGAUAAACCUCUUGUAAACAAUGUUUUCAAAACUUAGGUUCCUAGAAGUUCUAACCUAUUUUGAUUUUCCUAAACCAUGUGUUUUAUUUUUUAAAGUGGAGUGAUAUUUUCUUUUGUAUUCAAAAUGACUGCCUAUUAUUGAAUCCCUUUUAGUCAGGUAAAAGACUAUCUUAUUAUUAAGUAGGCCACAAUGGUACUUUUUCUGGAGUCUGCCACAUAGGUAAUGACCAGAGGGCAAAUUAAAGGACAGAGAUAAGGUUGAGGCGCUUUGGCACUUUGUGGUUCAUUCCAAGCAAUGCCCAUGCUUGGUAAUGACAUACUUGGCAAAGACUAAAUCCUGAAUCUUUGGCAGUGUUUGAGUAUUGCUUUUAUUUUCUAUUUUGUAGUUGCAUUUUGGCUGUUGAAAUUAAAUUAAUGUUGGUGAUUCUCAACAUUCAAAAUCAGUGUAAAUGAAAGUUAAAUUGUAUGUUUCUGAUGUGCUUGCCAUUCUUACCUUCACAGAAAAAAGCUUGGCAGGACCACAAGCGGGAAUGCAAAUGCCUUAAAAGCUGCAAACCUAGAUAUCCUCCUGACUCUGUGCGACUUCUUGGUCGAGUUGUCUUCAAACUUGUGAGUGUUUACUUGUAAAAGACACUUGAGUUUUAAUUUACCAGAAGCUUUUGCAGUUGCAUUUAUUAUUCAUAUUUUAGGCUGAAAUUGAACCCAUGUUAAGGUACAGAGUAAAUUAUUGCAGGUAGUAGCUUAAGAUACUCCUAUUAGUCAAGGAAUUGUGGCAGUGAAGAAGUGCAGAGCCCUCUUUAAAAUCCCUAUGAUCUCCUGGGAAUAGAAGUGUGGGAUCCUAAAUUUGGGGUAUAAGCUGUUAGCAAUUAAUAUUUGUUAUGUUGCCUUUGUCAUUUUUCCUGCUGUGAGCUAAUGUACAGGACAUGUAUGUCCUUUUUGGUUGCCUUUUCUGGUGAGAUAUAAAUUAGAUGAUAAUUAAUAUAAAAUUGAAGGGUGCUUUUGUCUUUUUGUGUAGCUAGGAUUUAUUGAAAUAGUUUUUUCAGCCCCUUUUCAUACAGUGCCGGUUAGUAGAAUUUGUGAAAUCCUCUUCUAAAGAAGCCUUCUAGUUUCUUUGGCUAGGCUUUUGCAUGAAUAUCUUUCCCAAAUUACUAUAGGCUCCAGCUCUGUUCUUUCCUUUGUUUAUUGAUUUUUUUUUUGCCACUUUAAAAUUUAUAGAGCUUUGAGAAUGUAAAAAGAGGUUUGCAUUUGACGAUUAAACCGGUAGGUGAAGCUACAAGUUAGAUUUUCUUUUAAAGUUGUUCCAGGUUAAAUAAAUCAGCUGUAAAAAAAUGAUAAAGAACUUAUAUAUAAGAAAUAGCCUUUUGGUAGACUUUCAUUUAAAUAUGUAAAGGUAUUCAAACACAUUCCUUCAUGUAUUGGAGUGCUUCGGAUUAUUUUUGGUUUCCCCCCUUUCCUUCACAGAUGGAAGAAACUCCCUCAGAAUCUGAGAAACUUUACUCAUUUUAUGAUCUGGAAUCAAGUAAGUGAUUGCCUAUCAUCAUCUUAAAAAAAGAAAAAAAAAGUCUGUCAUUUGUUUGCUGAGUUGGUGAAGAUGGAUUGACUGAUUGUGGAUUGACUGAUUGUGAACCCAGGGCAUCACUCAUACUGAGCACAUGCUCUACCACUGACCUGCACCCCUCCCCAGCCCCCAAACUGCUUUAUUUUCAACUUUGUUUUUCUGUCUCCUUAUUAUGUGAAACAAACCUAACAAAAGUUUUUGUUUUUAUAAGUAACUGACUCAUUAGUUUAUUUAAUUUAUUUCAUGGCAGUUUGGGCCUUACAGAAGUUUAUGAAGUACUAUAAAGAUGUCUAGGGUGUUCAGGGUAGUGUAACCAUUUGUCCAGUUGACAAAAUUUUCCUUCUGUUUCUCCUUCCUUUUCCCCCUUCAUUCCUCUCUUGGUUUCCUCUUCUGUUUUUUCUUUUUCCUUUUCUUUUUCUGAUGACAGGAAAGAGAGAUAUAAUGAAUAUGAGGGUUUCAGGGAGCUUUUGGGAUCACUGUUGCUUUAGGUAGUAAAGUCAAAGGUAUAGAUGACUUAGGCUUUAUGACAGAGUGUUGUUCCUACCAUGUCAGUAGUCCAGCUACUUGGAAUGAAUGAUAGGCUUUCCAGAUCUGAGUGUCAAGCACAUGUAAGGUUUGUAUUGCUUUUUGUACUGGCACAGAUCCUGUUCAUUGAGUUUGUAAAAGACUUUAAUCUCAAACUGGCCAGAGCUCAGUGUGAAUUUGCUACACAAUUUAUUUAAUAUUUCUGGAUGGAGACAAAUAAAAGAUGAUUUAGUACACAUUUAUGCUUAUGGGAUACUAAGUGCUAAUAAAUUAUUAUUUAGGAAAUCAUUGGGUCAAUUAUUGUGUUGAACAAGUAAUAUAAAGAAAAUAUACAGGGCUGGGGAUGUGGCUCAAGCGGUAGCGCGCUCGCCUGGCAUGCGUGCGGCCCGGGUUCGAUCCUCAGCACCACAUACAAAAAAAAAGAUGUUGUGUCUGCCGAUAACUGGAAAAUUAAUAUUAAAAAAAAAGAAAAUAUACAGACCUGACAUGAGCAGCAAAGUAUCUUUUCAAAUUUUAAUAGAGAACUAAUUAGUCAUUUUUACUUGUAUUACUGCUAGGUAAUUAAAAUAUCUUACAGUGAAUUUCACUAUUAACAUUAGUGCUGUUCAGUAGUAAUGUCAUACACACUGCUUUAAGUGAAAUGCUCUCAAAUGUUAUUAAUUAAAGGUGCCUCUUAGAUUCAAUAUGCAAUUUGUGGUUUAUAUAUAGUUUUUUCUUUCACUGUAUGGAGAUAGAACCCAGGUCGACCCACCUCUGAGUUAAAUCCCUACCCCUUUUAUGCUUUUGUUUUUUGAGACACAGUCUCAUUAAAUUGCCAAAUCUGGCCUGUAAUUUGCAGACUUCCUGCCUCAGCCUCUUAAAUUGUUGGGAUUAUAGGUGUAUGUCACCAUGCUCAGCUAAGUUGACUUUUUAAAGGAAGUCAUAUUGACUUUAAAGCCAUCUGUUUCUUUCUUUUUUUUAAAAAAUUUAAUUAACAUAGCAUCUGUACAAAUGUAUGGGGUAUUAUACAACAAUUUAAUGCAUAUAUACAACAUGUAAUGAUAAAAUCAGGGCAAUUAGCUUUUGAGUGUUAAAAGUUUAUGUGUUAGGAACCUUUGAACAAUUUUUUCCUAAUUAUUGUGGAUUAUGUGAAAAAUUCUUGUGGGUUGAAUUUACCCUAUUAUACUAUAGAAAAAUAGUACUAAUUCCUUCUCACUAUAUUUUGGUACUUUUUUUUUUUUUUUGGUGGUGGGGGUGCUGGGGAUUGAACCCUGGGCCUUGUGCAUGUGAGGCAAGCACUCUACCAACUGAGCUACAUCCCUAACCCUUGGGUACCCAUUUUCUACCCUCUCAUUAUCCUUCCUCCCCUGCUCUUCCUAGUCUCUUCUUCUCUUUUCUUUAGAUUAAUUUUUUAUGUUUCCACAAAUGAGUGAGAACGUGUGACAUUUCUUUCUGUGCCUGGCUUAUUUCACUUAACAUGAUCUUAAGUUUCAUCUACAUUGCUUAAAAUGACAGUAUUUCAUUUUUUUAAAAAAAUUUUUUUAGUUGUUGAUGAACCUUUAUUAUUUAUUUAUUUAUAUGUGAUGCUGAGAAUCAAACCCAGUGCCAUACACAUGCUAGGCAAGCGCUCUACCACUGAGCCACAACCCCAGCUCCUGAUUAUUUUUAAUGACUGAAAAAUAUUCCAUUGUACCACAUCUUUUUCAUCCAUUGGAGGACACUCAGGUCAGUUGUAUGUCUUGGCUAUUGUGAAUGAUGCUGCAGUGAACAUGGAGUGCUGCUCUUUGAUAUAAUGGUUUUAUUUGGAUAUAUAUCCAGUAGUGGGAUUGCUAGAUCAUAAGGUGCUUUCUAUUUUUAAUUUUUUAGGAGCCUUCAUACUGUUUUCCAUAAGGCAGUACUAAUUUACAUGUCCACUAAUAGUGUAGGAGUUCCUCUUUCUCCACAUCUUUAUCAGCAUUUGUUAUUUUUUUUUCUCUUUGAUAAUAGCCAUUGUCACUGUGGAUAUUUUUCUUUUGUUUUUGUGCUAGUGGAGGAUGAACUCAGGGACGCUUUAUGACUGAGCUACAUCCUUAGUGAUUUUUAUUUUGUUAAAAUAAAAUAAAGUUAAGUUGCUGAGGCUGGCCUCAAACUUGGGAUCCUCCAGCCUCAGCCUCCCAGUUCUUUGGGAUUUUAGGCAUCUGCCACUGCAUAUGUGCAUAUGGCUUUCAAUGUGCUUUGGAUUUGUGUUUUCCUGAUGAGUAAUGAUGUUGAACUUUUUUUUUGUCGCUUGCAUGUCUUCUUUUGAGAAAUGCCUAUUCAGAUUCUAUGCCCCUUUUCAAUGUAGAUCAUUUUACUUUUUUUUUUUUUUUUUGCUGUUGGUUUUGAGUUCCUUAAGUAGGGUGAACGUUAAUCCCUUGUGAGUUGAAUACUUUGCACAUGUUUUCUCCUGAUCUAUAGGUUGUCUCUCUACUGCAUCCAUUGUUUCUUUGUGCAGGAGCCUGCUAGGCUGUUGGUGAUCCUAUUUGCUGAUUUUUGCUUUUGUUGCCUAUGCUUUUGGGGUCAUAUCCAAAAAACUUUGCCUAGAUCAAUAUCCUGAAACUUUUCCUUUAUGUUUUUUUUUUCUUUUUCCUAGUAGGUCCAUAGUUUGGGGUCUUACAUUUAAGUCUGAUCUAUUUUGAGUUGAUUUUUGAAUAUGGUGAGAGGUAUGGAUGUAGUUUCAUUCUUCUGCACAUGGUAUUUCGAGUUUUCGGGUACUGUUUAUUAAAGAGACUGCUUUUUUCCCAAUGUAUGUCGUUGUCACCUUUGGUGAAAAUCACUUGAUUGUAUAUUAUGUAGAUUCAUUUCUGUUGCAUUGGUUUCUGGGUCUGUGGUUACUUUAGUUUUGUAGUUUUUUGAAGUCAGAUAUCGUGGUGCUUCCAUCUUUUUUCUUUUUGCUCAGAAUUUCUUUGGCAAUUCAGUUUUUCAUGGUUCCAUGUGAAUUUUGUGAUUAUUUUUCCUAUUUCUGUGAAGAAUCUCAUUGUUAAUUUGAUGGGAAUUACAUUGAAUCUUUAGAUCACUUUGGGUAGUUGGACAUUUUAGCAGUAUUCAUUCUUUGAAUUUAUGAACAUGGGAAGUAUUUUCCUAUUCUGUGUCCCCUUCAGUUUCUUUUGUCUUAUACUUUUCACUGUAGAAGUCUUUCAUUUCCUUGGUUGAAUUUCAUCCUAGCUAUUUUAUUUAUGGUGUAGCUAUUGUCCUUUUUUAGCAAUUUUGUUAUUGGUGUAUAAAAAAAUUUUACUGAUUUUUAUAUAUUGUUUUUGUAUCUAUAACUUUAACCAAAUCUGUUUUAUCAGUUUUAACAUUUUUUUUUUUUUUUGGUGUGGCAUUUCUCUUCAAGUCAGACAGUUGUUAAAGUAGCUCUAUGUUUAUGUAUUCAAUCUGAAAAUGAAAUUGAGAUUUCUUUGUUUAAUAUGUUUUCGUGAUGAAUGUUCCAUAUAACAAAUUUCAUUUAUUUGAAUUUUGUCAGAAUUUAUUCUCCUUUCAGUCUUCUUGUCUUUCAGAUUAUAAUGUUUAUCAGUUUGUGAUGACCUAGUUGUAAAUUUUUCAUGGUAAAAUCUGUUUAAAUCCAUUGACUUAAUAAAGAUUUAUGACGGUUUGUGUAUGUAUACAUGUUGAUGUAGAAAAUCUGGUGAUGCAAAACCUUAGUGAUUUUAGUUUUUAAUCUUUUUCGUUGGUAUAUGCAUUUAUUAUGUUCUUAAUAGGUAUUUGAUCUUACAUUGUAGAUAAAAUUUGGUAGAUUUAAUUGAUUAUAUAUGUAUUAUGAUUUGUGGUUGUCAAAUAAAAAGAUGUUAGAAUGGAAGGUGAGAUGGGAAAUAUCUGGUUUAGCAGCCAGCAUUGAAUACCUGAAAAUUAUCCAUUGUUUACUUUGUGAUUUUGCUGUUUAUUUUUUUUGUUAAAGAUAUUAGCAAACUUACUGAAGAUAAGAAAGAGGGCCUCAGGCAACUUACAAUGACAUUUCAACAUUUCAUGAGAGAAGAAAUACAGGAUGCUUCUCAGCUGCCAGCUUCUU